Molecule: long non-coding RNA, 423 nt
Organism: Lates calcarifer (barramundi perch)
Lineage: Eukaryota; Metazoa; Chordata; Actinopteri; Centropomidae
Exons: 3
Source: RefSeq, a predicted model, not a curated record
AACACUUGUUAUCUUGCCUGUCCCGUCUUGUAAUACAACUGUGAAUAACUGUAGUGUCCAGUCUGCUCUGAGUCCAACGUGAGAGGAUAAAAAAGUAGCAGUGCCCAGAGGGUAUAUUCUAACUUCUUGUAAACACAGUGAUGGCUGAAGCUCUUGUGUGACACAUUUGCUACUUGUAUCCUGAGACAACAUCAGCCUCCUCUCUCUCACUGAAGGAACUUCAUGCACCCAAAUGUCAGCAUGCCCGGAGCAGAGGUUAAGGACUAUGUACACACGAAGUAGGAAGCUUCUGUUUAAUGUAAAACAUUCACUAUGACUCACCGGAAAGGAGAGAGCGAGACAACAUCAGGAGGGGAAUUCAGAAAAAUGAGAAGAAUGGUUCAAAUGAAACCAGAUAAACCACCCCAUGCCUGAGAUAUAAAC